AAAGUCGUAACAAGGUUUCCGUAGGUGAACCUGCGGAGGGAUCAUUACCGAGUUUACAACUCCCAAACCCCUGUGAACAUACCUUUAUGUUGCCUCGGCGGAUCAGCCCGCGCCCCGUAAAACGGGACGGCCCGCCGCAGGAAACCCUAAACUCUGUUUUUAGUGGAACUUCUGAGUAUAAAAAACAAAUAAAUCAAAACUUUCAACAACGGAUCUCUUGGUUCUG
RNAcentral lists this unclassified non-coding RNA (226 nucleotides) under Ascomycota sp. RNAcentral describes it as "partial contains small subunit ribosomal RNA, internal transcribed spacer 1, and 5.8S ribosomal RNA". The stretch from base 1 to 47 matches the Rfam family "Eukaryotic small subunit ribosomal RNA", at positions 1785 to 1831 of the family's 1831-position model. The record is from RNAcentral. Lineage: Eukaryota; Fungi; Ascomycota.